RNAcentral lists this ribosomal RNA (491 nucleotides) under uncultured bacterium. RNAcentral describes it as "partial 16S ribosomal RNA". It matches the Rfam family "Bacterial small subunit ribosomal RNA", at positions 29 to 507 of the family's 1533-position model. The record is from RNAcentral.
GUGAACGCUGGCGGUAGGCCUAACACAUGCAAGUCGAACGGCAGCACAGUAAGAGCUUGCUCUUACGGGUGGCGCGUGGCGGACGGGUGAGGAAUACAUCGGAAUCUACUUUUUCGUGGGGGAUAACGUAGGGAAACUUACGCUAAUACCGCAUACGACCUACGGGUGAAAGCAGGGGAUCUUCGGACCUUGCGCGAUUGAAUGAGCCGAUGUCGGAUUAGCUAGUUGGCGGGGUAAAGGCCCACCAAGGCGACGAUCCGUAGCUGGUCUGAGAGGAUGAUCAGCCACACUGGAACUGAGACACGGUCCAGACUCCUACGGGAGGCAGCAGUGGGGAAUAUUGGACAAUGGGCGCAAGCCUGAUCCAGCCAUACCGCGUGGGUGAAGAAGGCCUUCGGGUUGUAAAGCCCUUUUGUUGGGAAAGAAAAGCAGCAGGUUAAUACCCCGCUGUUCUGACGGUACCCAAAGAAUAAGCACCGGCUAACUUCGUG